This is a long non-coding RNA of Ochotona curzoniae (black-lipped pika), 100 nucleotides long. RefSeq lists it as uncharacterized. The record is from RefSeq and is a predicted model, not a curated record. Lineage: Eukaryota; Metazoa; Chordata; Mammalia; Lagomorpha; Ochotonidae. The transcript has 3 exons.
CUGCUGUAUCAUUGAUGAGGGGUAUGGAUGCAGCUGAGAAUUUUCCACUGUCAUAGAGUUAUAAUUUAUUUCACUGGUAUAUAUGGUAAUCUGAAUAAUU